Molecule: ribosomal RNA, 2935 nt
Filed under: Priestia megaterium WSH-002
Lineage: Bacteria; Bacillati; Bacillota; Bacilli; Caryophanales; Bacillaceae
Description: bacterial LSU rRNA
Rfam family: Bacterial large subunit ribosomal RNA
Source: RNAcentral
GGUUAAGUUAGAAAGGGCGCACGGUGAAUGCCUUGGCACUAGGAGCCGAUGAAGGACGGGACUAACACCGAUAUGCUUCGGGGAGCUGUAAGUGAGCUUUGAUCCGGAGAUUUCCGAAUGGGGAAACCCACUGUUCGUAAUGGAACAGUAUCUUUAUCUGAAUACAUAGGAUAUUGAAGGCAGACCCGGGGAACUGAAACAUCUAAGUACCCGGAGGAAGAGAAAGCAAAUGCGAUUUCCUGAGUAGCGGCGAGCGAAACGGAAUUAGCCCAAACCAAGAGGCUUGCCUCUUGGGGUUGUAGGACACUCUAUACGGAGUUACAAAGGAACGAAGUAAAUGAAGCGACCUGGAAAGGUCCGUCGAAGAAGGUAACAACCCUGUAGUUGAAACUUCGUUCCCUCUUGAGUGGAUCCUGAGUACGGCGGACCACGUGAAAUUCCGUCGGAAGCUGGGAGGACCAUCUCCCAAGGCUAAAUACUACCUAGUGACCGAUAGUGAACCAGUACCGUGAGGGAAAGGUGAAAAGCACCCCGGAAGGGGAGUGAAAGAGAUCCUGAAACCGUGUGCCUACAAGUAGUCAGAGCCCGUUAACGGGUGAUGGCGUGCCUUUUGUAGAAUGAACCGGCGAGUUACGAUCCCAUGCAAGGUUAAGCUGAUAAGGCGGAGCCGUAGCGAAAGCGAGUCUGAAUAGGGCGUUUAGUAUGUGGUUGUAGACCCGAAACCAGGUGAUCUACCCAUGUCCAGGGUGAAGUUCAGGUAACACUGAAUGGAGGCCCGAACCCACGCACGUUGAAAAGUGCGGGGAUGAGGUGUGGGUAGCGGAGAAAUUCCAAUCGAACCUGGAGAUAGCUGGUUCUCUCCGAAAUAGCUUUAGGGCUAGCCUCAUGUUGUGAGAGUCUUGGAGGUAGAGCACUGAUUGGACUAGGGGCCCCCAACGGGUUACCGAAUUCAGUCAAACUCCGAAUGCCAAAGACUUAUCCAUGGGAGUCAGACUGCGAGUGAUAAGAUCCGUAGUCAAAAGGGAAACAGCCCAGACCACCAGCUAAGGUCCCCAAGUAUACGUUAAGUGGAAAAGGAUGUGGAGUUGCUUAGACAACCAGGAUGUUGGCUUAGAAGCAGCCACCAUUUAAAGAGUGCGUAAUAGCUCACUGGUCGAGUGACUCUGCGCCGAAAAUGUACCGGGGCUAAACGUAUCACCGAAGCUGUGGAUUGACAUCUUUGAUGUCAGUGGUAGGAGAGCGUUCUAAGUGCAGCGAAGUCAGACCGUAAGGACUGGUGGAGCGCUUAGAAGUGAGAAUGCCGGUAUGAGUAGCGAAAGACAAGUGAGAAUCUUGUCCACCGAAUGCCUAAGGUUUCCUGAGGAAGGCUCGUCCGCUCAGGGUUAGUCGGGACCUAAGCCGAGGCUGAAAAGCGUAGGCGAUGGCCAACAGGUUGAUAUUCCUGUACCACCUCCCCGCCGUUUGAGUAAUGGGGGGACGCAGUAGGAUAGGGUAAGCGCGCUGCUGGAUAUGCGCGUUCAAGCAGUUAGGCUGAUGAGUAGGCAAAUCCGCUCAUCAUAAAGGCUGAGCUGUGAUGACGAGGGAAUUAUAGUACCGAAGUUCCUGAUUCCACACUGCCAAGAAAAGCCUCUAGCGAGGCGGGAGGUGCCCGUACCGCAAACCGACACAGGUAGGCGAGGAGAGAAUCCUAAGGUGAUCGAGAGAACUCUCGUUAAGGAACUCGGCAAAAUGACCCCGUAACUUCGGGAGAAGGGGUGCUCUGGUAGGGUGUAUAGCCCGAGAGAGCCGCAGUGAAUAGGCCCAGGCGACUGUUUAGCAAAAACACAGGUCUCUGCGAAGCCGCAAGGCGAAGUAUAGGGGCUGACGCCUGCCCGGUGCUGGAAGGUUAAGAGGAGGGGUUAUCCUUUGGGAGAAGCUCUGAAUCGAAGCCCCAGUAAACGGCGGCCGUAACUAUAACGGUCCUAAGGUAGCGAAAUUCCUUGUCGGGUAAGUUCCGACCCGCACGAAAGGCGUAACGAUCUGGGCACUGUCUCAACGAGAGACUCGGUGAAAUUAUAGUACCUGUGAAGAUGCAGGUUACCCGCGACAGGACGGAAAGACCCCGUGGAGCUUUACUGUAGCCUGAUAUUGAAUUUUGGUACAGCUUGUACAGGAUAGGUAGGAGCCUGAGAAACCGGAGCGCUAGCUUCGGUGGAGGCGUCGGUGGGAUACUACCCUGGCUGUAUUGAAAUUCUAACCCGCGGCCCUGAUCGGGCCGGGAGACAGUGUCAGGUGGGCAGUUUGACUGGGGCGGUCGCCUCCUAAAAUGUAACGGAGGCGCCCAAAGGUUCCCUCAGAAUGGUUGGAAAUCAUUCGUAGAGUGUAAAGGCACAAGGGAGCUUGACUGCGAGACCUACAAGUCGAGCAGGGACGAAAGUCGGGCUUAGUGAUCCGGUGGUUCCGCAUGGAAGGGCCAUCGCUCAACGGAUAAAAGCUACCCCGGGGAUAACAGGCUUAUCUCCCCCAAGAGUCCACAUCGACGGGGAGGUUUGGCACCUCGAUGUCGGCUCAUCGCAUCCUGGGGCUGUAGUCGGUCCCAAGGGUUGGGCUGUUCGCCCAUUAAAGCGGUACGCGAGCUGGGUUCAGAACGUCGUGAGACAGUUCGGUCCCUAUCCGUCGUGGGCGUAGGAAAUUUGAGAGGAGCUGUCCUUAGUACGAGAGGACCGGGAUGGACACACCGCUGGUGUACCAGUUGUCUUGCCAAAGGCAUCGCUGGGUAGCUAUGUGUGGACGGGAUAAGUGCUGAAAGCAUCUAAGCAUGAAGCCCCCCUCAAGAUGAGAUUUCCCAUAGCGCAAGCUAGUAAGAUCCCUGAAAGAUGAUCAGGUUGAUAGGUCAGAGGUGGAAGCGUGGCGACAUGUGUAGCUGACUGAUACUAAUCGAUCGAGGACUUAACCA